AGUGAACGCUGGCGGCGUGCUUAACACAUGCAAGUCGAACGAGAACGGGUUAUAGCUUGCUAUAAUUGUCAGCUAAGUGGCGCACGGGUGAGUAAUGUAUAGGUAAUAUGCCUCUUACUAAGGGAUAACAAAUGGAAACGACUGCUAAUACCCCAUAAGCCGAGAGGUAAAAGGAUUUAUCCGGCAUGGGAGGUACUCGCGUCCUAUCAGCUAGUAGGUGAGGUAACGGCUCACCUAGGCGAAGACGGGUAGCCGGCCUGAGAGGGCGAACGGCCACACUGGAACUGAGAUACGGUCCAGACUCCUACGGGAGGCAGCAGUGGGGAAUAUUGGGCAAUGGGGGGAACCCUGACCCAGCGACGCCGCGUGGGUGAAGAAAUCCUUCGGGAUGUAAAGCCCGGUUGUAUGGGAAGAGCGGAAGACGGUACCAUACGAGGAAGCCCCGGCAAACUACGUGCCAGCCGCCGCGGUAA
This 473-nucleotide ribosomal RNA is filed under the name uncultured bacterium. Its description in RNAcentral is "partial 16S ribosomal RNA". It matches the Rfam family "Bacterial small subunit ribosomal RNA", at positions 29 to 523 of the family's 1533-position model. The record is from RNAcentral.